CCAGGGGGUUCAGAUCCCACCCCAGGGGGGUCUCACCCAGCCCGGGGGGCUCCCGGCAGGUCCCGGUAGGGCAGCGAGAGGGGACACAAGACCCGACCCCAAAUCCUUUCCUGAUGGGAUCAGGGCUGGAUCCUGCCCCAUGGAGGGGUCAGAUCCCACCUGAGGGGAUCAAACCCCACCUGGAGGGGAUCAAACCCCACCUGAGGGGGUUCAGAUCCCCCCCGGGGGGUCUCACCCAGCUCGGGGGGCUCCCGGCAGGUCCCGGCAGGGCAGCGAGAAGGAAACAACACCAAACCCCAAAUCCUUUCCUGAUGGGAUCGGGACCAGAUCCCACCUGGAGGGACCAGAUCCCCCCCGGGGGGUCUCACCCAGCUCGGGGGCUCCCGGCAGGUCCCGGUAGGGCAGCGAGAGGGGACACAAGACCCGACCCCAAAUCCUUUCCUGACGGGAUUGGGAUCAAACCCCACCUGGAGGGGAUCAAACCCCACCUGAGGGGAUCAAACCCCACCUGGAGGAAUCAGAUCCCACCCCAGGGGGAUCAAAUCCCACCCCAGGGGGGUCUCAGGCGGCGCGGGGGGCUCCCGGCAGGUCCUGGCAGGGCAGGGAGAGGGGACACAAGACCCGACCCCAAAUCCUUUCCUGAUGGGAUCGGGACCAGAUCCCACCUGAGGGGGUCAAACCCCACCCGAGGGGGUUCAGAUCCCCCCCG
Molecule: long non-coding RNA, 709 nt
Filed under: Cyanistes caeruleus (blue tit)
Lineage: Eukaryota; Metazoa; Chordata; Aves; Passeriformes; Paridae
Description: lncRNA (ENSCCEG00000003583.1)
Source: RNAcentral